This 68-nucleotide transfer RNA is filed under the name Marmota monax (woodchuck). RNAcentral describes it as "tRNA.Ala". The record is from RNAcentral. Lineage: Eukaryota; Metazoa; Chordata; Mammalia; Rodentia; Sciuridae.
GGAUUGUAGCUCAGUGGUAGAGUGCUUGCUUCGCAUGCGUGAGACACUGGGUUGGAUCCUCAGCACCA